RNAcentral lists this long non-coding RNA (10600 nucleotides) under Erythranthe guttata (spotted monkey flower). RNAcentral's name for it is "long non-coding RNA (EGUT_LNC003080)". Lineage: Eukaryota; Viridiplantae; Streptophyta; Magnoliopsida; Lamiales; Phrymaceae. The record is from RNAcentral.
GAUGCUGCUCAAAUGCCAAUUGGGCAACCCAAGUGUCCUUGAGCCCACAAAGAUAGAGAAUGCCGUGAGUCACUGCCACGUGUCCGAGGUAGUCGAAGGGAUUGCUCCGUUCGUUAACCUACAAAACAAUUGAAACACUAGAUGACACGCCGGGUUUGGCCCGGCGAUUAUCCUCCGACGCUCAAGUCAGAAGAUGUAUUAAUAUAAGCAAAUAAUAAUUAUUAAUUGCCAAAUUAGAGUGUACCUUUCUAUGUGAAAUGACACAUACAUUUAUAGGUGGAUGAAUAGGUAGGACUUUUUGUAAAAAUCCGAUGUGGGACAAUGUGUUGUUACUUUUAUAGGUAAAAAGUAAUCUAAUUGAGUUUUCACACAAUUAGAUUAAUUUAGGGCAAUUUGGGCCUAAUCUUAAUUAGGUUUAUGGGCCUAAUUAUGAUUAGACACAUCAUUAAGCCCCCCACUUCCAAGUUGGGUCAUGGGCUUGUGAGCCUAGUUGGAAGUAGUAUAUAAGCCCAUCCAUGCCCUUGUAGGGUUUUUUAUUUUGGAUUCUUGUGGUUUCUUCUUCCAGAAUUGUGCUAGCGAGAUUUAAAAAUAAUUGGCGAACUUCCAAAGGUAUAAAUAUUUUUUGCAAAUCCUCACUUUUUUAUUCGAGUCCUUGUGUCGUUGGUUUUACCCGUAUUUUGUCGUUUGGAGCCUCGAAAUUGCGUUUGAUAUAGGCGUAGGAAUUUAAUGUCGGGUCUAAGGUUGUUGGACGAGUCUAGCGACGAACUAUGUGGAGUUCAUUCGGAAUCCGAUAAUUUUGAAGAUGGGAAUUCGAAAAAUCUUGAUAGCCGGGUGGAAAGAGGUCGAAAUUUGGAGUCCAGGAGUACCAAUUUUGUGAAAUUCGGAGUUGCGAGCGAGAAGUUAUGUGCGAAACAGUGUAAUGGUUCGUUGUUCGAGAAAAAUUCCAGUACUGGCGGCUAUGGCAUUGAAUUCCGUGCCAGAAAGGAGGGGGUGACGUCAGCCCUGGGUGGCGUGACGUCACCGAGCGUGGAAAACUGUGCAGCUGGGCGGUCGGGCGGGUCAACUCGGGCGGAUCGAGCGAGUCGGGUGGGUGAGUCGACUCGGGCAGGCGGGUCGGACCGGUCGGGCUGGGCAACUCGGUCGGGUGAGUCGACUCAGUUGAGUGAGUCAACUCGGUCAGGGGAAUCGGGCGAGUCAACUCGGAUGAACGGGGUAACUCGGGCGGGAGUGCGGUGUGACGUCAGCGUGACGUCACACGGAGGGGGGCCUGGGAAUGCCGGGCGCGUGGAGCGCGUGUUGCGCGUGGAGCGCGUGGGCGGGGACCACCCGGGGCGCGUGGGGCGCGUGGGGCGCGUGGGAACAGCUGCUGGGAGCUGUUCUGCGCGUGGAGGCGCGUCCGGGCCGUUUCCGGCGCGUGUGGAGCGCGUGCAGGGCCGUUCGGAGUCCGUUUUUUCCGCCGAACCCCGUGUUUCAGCUCCCAACCCUGAUGUGGGCCCGGAGUUUCGUUCCGUGGAGUUAGAAUGUAGCGAUCCUGAGACUUGGGCGUGGUCUCGACGGAUUAAUGUGUUUGGGACGAACUUUUCUCUAAAAAAUUCCGUGGUUCGUGGGUCGAAGAGAAGACGUGAAUUCGAGGUGGACGAGAGCGUGUUGACCGAUGAGGAAGAAGAAUUAACCGAUUUUUCCGGCGGUAGUGUUUCUGAGGAAUAUUCAGGAAUAUGUGCCGAAUUAAAUUUCGACUCUUCCUUUAGAGUUGGUCAACUGCCCGAGAUUCUGGACUAUCUACGUGUCGAGCAUGCUAUUGAGAUAUCGGUUCCGUGUAAGGGGGAGAGAUGUUAUGCCCCUCCUGAUGGCUACUUUACGGUAUUCCUUGCAUCAUUUUCGGUUGGAUUUACUUUGCCACCUCAUCCGGUUCUUGUUAAAAUUUGUCGAGAUGUGAAGGUGAGCCUCAGUCAAUUAACGCCGAACGCAUUUCUUUACUUCAAAGGGUUUUGUCAUCGCGCUGAGUCCGAGGGUUUUCCAAUUUCAGCGAAUUUAUUUCACUCCAUGUUUCUUGUGAAACCGCUGAGGGACAAAGCGCCUAAUUUUCAUUUUCAUCCUCGGCCGAAAUGCAAGUUUUUGAAGAAAAAUGAGAAUAAAUGGGGGAGUUGGAAGGAGUGGUUCCUAUACGUGCGGAAUGAUUGGGAAGUUCCUUCUGUAUGGGGUGAAGUGCGUCCCGUUGAGUGGAGUAAUGAACACUCGAGACUCAAAAUGGAUUGUAUCGGAAUGGGUUUUUUCGAUUAUUUCUUCGACCCUUUGACUUUAUUUUCUAAGGGUAGAGGAGUUGUGCUGUAUUGAUUGCUCCGUCCUCUUUCUUUUUUCUUGAAACUAAUAUUUUUGUAUUUGCUGUUUUCGUGUUCUGCAGGUGAGACGAUGAGCUAUAAUGAUUUCAAACGUCGUUGCAUGAACAAUGGUGCCUCGAAGCCUGUAUCUCGAAACACACCUCCGGCCUCAAAGCCCGUGGCACGGGAGUCAGGAAGAGGCACUGCAGAGGAUCGAAGUAGUGGGAAAAAGCCAGUCCAUGGGGUGGGAUCGUCCCGUGGUCCGGAGGUGGCUGUGAAGAAGAGCGCUGGAGUCUCGGAUCCCAAAUCCGCCGACAAAGGUCGUCUUGCCAUUGUGAGUGCGCCCCCGCUGCCUUUGAGCGAGCUCAAGUCCCCCUCCGCGUCCGGGGAUACUCGUGUCGCCCCUAUCGUCGUGCGUGAAAAAAGGCCUCGCACCUUAGGAGUUGAGGAGUUGGUUCUACCGCCCGUUAAUGCAUGGAAAGGGAAUUUUGUUGCUGGUGUUGAUAGGACGCAAAAUGGUGGUUCGGUGUUUGACGUUCUUGAUAGCGCCUUGGCCAUGGAGAAGGUAAUGGGUUUCCCGACGGAGUUUGAUUCGACUCGUCUUGCCGGGAAACCUCUAGACGAGAUGAUCGAAGGGUUGGCGUCCUCCUUUGCUCGGGUUAGUAUCGGAUUUAUCAUGCACCUCUAUAUUUGAUUUAUUAUUACUAUUAAUAAUAAUAACUCCUGCCCCUUUUAUUUAUUUAUUUAUUUUUUAGACUAUGACUUUCGUGCCCUUGAUUAUUGAUCGCGGGAGGGGCUUGGAGGCUGAGCAUGCCAAGAUGCAAGCAGAGAAGUUGAACGUUAAUUCGUUGUAUGCGGGUGUUCAGGGUGUCAAUGCCUCCCUUCGCGCAGAGAUUGAAGGUUUGAAGAAGUCUCUGGAUGAAGAAAAAGGCAAGCUGAGUGCCUUGGAGAAGAAAUGUCAGAGCUUGGUGACACGUGCGGAUGAUGAAAAAUCGGCACGUCUGAAGGCCGAAGCUAGGAUUAAGGAUCUGAGCCUAUCUUUGAAGAAUGAGAAGACCGACGCGCUUUCUUUCAUGGAAGCCCAUAAGGGGUCGAAUGACGUCUUGAAAACGCCUUUGGGUUUGAUGGUGGUUGACAAGUUCUUAGGGAGCGAAUCUUAUAUCGAGCUACGGGAUAGUUAUGCUAGUGGGUUUUUUGCGGAGAUCGUGCGGGAUAUCCGCAGUCAAGUUCGUGCUACAAAGCUUGUCCCAGAGGCUAUCCUACGGGAGAUAGAGCCGAGCGUUUUGGAACUUGAGCCAGAAAUUGGGGCGGAGAAAAUUGGCGCCCUGGUUGAGGGCGAUGAGUUUGAUGAGAUGCCCGAGUCUGCUGGAGCUGAGAAUGCUAGCGUUAACCCGACUGCCUAGUAGUGUAGUCGUUUAUCAGUUUCUACUCGCUUGAGAGUAGUAGUAUUUUCCUUUACGACGUAUUUCUAAGACUUUAGUCUUUUCUAUGUUUUUUUUUAUUUUUUUAUUCGCACGUUUUUGCUUCAUGAAUGGAAUUUUACUUUUGUUUUAUUCCCAUUUCGCAAUUUUCGUGCUUUUUUGGUACUUAGUGGAUGAUCAGUCCCCUAAGUUUUUAUGUAGGGGCUCCGCAUUUUUGCCUUCUUUUCUUAAUUUAGGGCUGCGGAGUCGUUGAGAAUUUGAUUUCUCUAUCAACUUGUGCUUUGGGGAGUGAGAUAACAAAGUUCGAGUUGGCCAGACCCUUGUGAUCCUUGUUAUCUUCCCCUUUAGCAAGGACCUUUUUGUUUUUUUUUUUUUUUUUGUUGUUGUUUGGGAGUCGAGUGGUCACCCCUUUGAUUGAAGCACUUCAUAGUAAUAAUAAUAAAAAUACUAAUGAAUUUCAAUAGAAUAAACAAAAAUUAAUUGUCAUGACACAAAGGAAAACGGUCGCAGAUUAGAGUGGGCGGUAUGCCUCAAGCGAAAAUGUUUUAUUUAGCUUCACGUGGCAAACGAUAUGCUGCCAACUUAUUACAUAAUUUAAAAGCGUUGCGGCGAGCGGUAUGCUCGCGACUUAUUCCCUAGCUUAAGCGUUACAGCGAGCGAUAUGCUCCUGAUUUAUUAAAAACAAAGAAAAAUUGUUCGCCUAAAGUGCUAAGCGAAAUACUUCUUCAAAUUCCCUAUGUUCCAAGUCCUUGGAACUUGAUUGCCAUCCAUGUGCUGAAGCCGGUAAGCUCCGGCGUUGACCACUUGAGUAACUUUGUAGGGUCCUUCCCACUUUGGAUCCAACUUUCCGACAGCCUUUGAAAUCCCGACUCUUCGGAGUACCAAGUCUCCUACCUGAAAUGAUCUUGGUUUGACUCUUUGGUUAUAGGCUCGCGCCAUUCGAGCUUUGUAAGCUUCCAUUCGUAUAGUAGCGCCCUCUCUGACCUCGUCCACAAGAUCCAAACUUGCCCUUAUUGCCAGAUCAUUAUGCUGGAUUGAGUAAUUGGAUAUCCGCCAUGACGGUUGCCCUAUUUCAGCUGGUACGACGGCUUCCAUUCCAUAAGCAAGAUUGAAAGGUGAUUCACCGGUGGAGGUUCGGGGAGUUGUACGAUAAGCCCAUAAGACGCUAGGGAGUUCCUCAACCCAGGCGCCCUUUGCUUCUCCUAAUCUGGCUUUGAGGUGUUGCAGAAUUGUGCGGUUUGUAACUUCGGUUUGGCCGUUAGCUUGCGGGUUUCCUACUGAAGUGAAGAAUUGCUUGAUUGAUAGUCCUUCACACCAGUCCGCGACCUUGCUUCCGCAGAAUUGAGUUCCAUUAUCUGAUAUUAGGGCUCGUGGUAUCCCAAAUCGGCAUACCACAUUCUUCCAUAGGAACCGAAUGACGUCGGCCUCGGCUAUUUUAGCCAAGGGCUCCGCUUCCACCCACUUGGUGAAAUAGUCAACUGCUACAAUUAAGAAUUUGCGUUGUCCACUAGCUUGUGGGAAUGGCCCAACCAGAUCUAUCCCCCAUUGUGCGAAAGGAACUGGGCUGUCAAUUGGUUGGAGAAGAGAUCCAGGUACGUGAGUAAUGUUGGCGUGUAUUUGGCAAGCUCUACAUUUCUCCACUAAUUCUCUAGCGUCUUGACGCAUAGUCGGCCAGAAGUAUCCUUGACGUAACGCUUUGAUGGCUAGUGCUCGCCCUCCUAAGUGGUUCCCACAAAUGCCUUCAUGAAUUUCACGGAGAACAUAUCUUGCUUCGUCCGGUCCGAGACAUCUUAGGUAAGGUACCGAAAAACCUCUCUUGUAUAGCUCCUCCCCGAUAAGUAGGAAUCGAGCGGCUUUUAUUUUUAAUUUCCUCGCCGCUGCUCCGUCUUGAGGCAAUUCUGACGUGGAUAGAUAUUUUAUUAUCUCGUCCUUCCAACACGGAGUGUUACUAGUACAGAGGAUUUGUGUGCCUGUUUCUAUCUCGGGUUUGGCGGAAGAGAGAAAAGUGAUCUUGCGACUGUCGAGCUUUGACAUGGAACUCGCUAAGCGAGCCAAUUUGUCUGCCAUGGCAUUUUCGGCUCUAGGUAUUUGCCUGAUUUCCACCUUCUCGAAACUUUCCAUGAGGCGUUUGACCAACUCGAGGUACUUAAUCAUACUUUCUUCUUUGGCUUCGUAUGUGCCUAAGACUUGGUUUACUACUAGUUGGGAGUCACUGUGUGUAACCAACUUCUUAGCUCCGGCUGCUUGAGCUAACUUCAAUCCAGCUACAAGGGCUUCGUAUUCCGCUUCAUUAUUAGAAGCUGGAAAUUCUAACUUCAAUGCGUACUCCAAAGCAUCGCCUUCGGGACUUGUGAUCCAAAUUCCUGCUCCACUACCCCCCGUGGUAGAGGAACCGUCUACAUAAACCGUCCACGUCGGUGUAGAACAUGUAGAUUCGUUAAACGUCAUUUCGACGAGAAAAUCCGCAAGGACUUGAGCUUUGAUUGCCGGGCGUGACCGGAACUCUACCCCAUACUCACUCAGUUCGAUCGCCCAUUUGGCCAUCCUCCCCGAUGUUUCAGGACUUUGGAAGAUCUGUUUAAGGGGGAAAUUUGUCAACACCACUACCUGGUGUGAUUGGAAAUAGGGCCGCAAUUUUCGCGCUGCCGUGAUUAAUGCCAAGGCCAGUCGCUCUAUGUUUGAAUAUCUCUGCUCGGCUCCCCGUAGGGCGCGACUGACGUAGUAGAUGGGUUGAUGCCCUCUUUCACCUUCGAGUACUAAGACUGCGCUGAUCGCCUCUGACGUAGUUGCUAAGUACAAUAAAAGUUCGUCUCCUUCCCUUGGUUUGGUCAGGAGGGGAGGUGACGCUAGGUAUUGCUUCAGUUCCUCGAAUGCUUUUUGGCACUCUUCCGUCCACUUGAAAUUCUUCCCCUCCCGCAGCACUCUAAAGAAAGGAAGUCCUUUGUCUGCUGAACGGGAAAUAAAUCGAUUCAGCGCCGCUAAACAACCGUUUAAUUGUUGGACAUUUUUUAUGGAUUUAGGUGGGGCCAUGUUGAUCAGGGCAUCAAUCUUGGCCGGUUUUGCUUCGAUUCCUCGUUGCGAGAUCAUAUAGCCUAGGAAUUUGCCGCCCUUCACUCCGAAGGAGCAUUUCGAAGGAUUUAGUUUCAUUUUGUAUUCUCUGAGAAUAGCGAAGCACUCUUCGAGGUCCUUCAAGUGGUUUUCGGCCUUAGCGCUUUUAACUAACAUAUCAUCGAUAUACACUUCCAUGUUACGCCCAAUUAGAUUAGCGAACAUGGUGUUCACCAGUCGUUGAUAGGUUGCUCCUGCGUUUUUUAGGCCGAAUGGCAUUACCUUGUAGCAAUAAAUGCCUUGGUCGGUAAUGAAACUCGCUUUCUCUUGGUCCUCAGGGGCCAGUUGGAUCUGGUUGUACCCUUGGUAUGCGUCUAAAAAGCUUAACAACUCACAUCCUGAGGUAGAAUCCACCAGCUGAUCGAUUCUUGGGAGAGGGAAAGGAUCUUUAGGACAAGCUUUGUUCAGGUUAGUGAAAUCCACACAUAAGCGCCAUUUUCCCCCUGAUUUCGCCACUAGGACAACAUUUGACAACCAUUCGGGAUAUUGAACCGGACGUAUUUGACCAGCCGCAAGGAGUUUGUCGACCUCCUCUUUGAUGUGUUUAUUACGUUCCGGGCCAAAAGUCCUUUUCUUUUGUUUUACCGGCUUGAGUUUCGGGUCAACGUCAAGCCGAUGAACAAUUUUAGAUGGGGGAAUUCCUUCGAGAUCUUCCGCUCUCCAUGCAAAAACAUCACCGUUUUUCCGAAGGAACUCCACGAGCCUUGUUUCUGCUUCGGGCUCAAGGUUGGUUCCCACUCGGAGUAGUUUGUCUUGAUUGCCCGGGAUCAACUCUACACUUUUCAGUUCUUCUACUGCUGCGAGUCUUGUGCUAUCGGCAUCUUGAUUGGUCGAGGGAGUGAUGAAGUCGUCUUUGACAGCCAUCACCCAUUUUCUCUUCAGAUAAUUGGGAGUGUCAUCUCCUCCUCCCACUUGCUUUGUGUUCCGAACCUGAGGUGCCUUCAAAGUGUUCGCAUAGCAUUCUCGAGCUAUGCGUUGAUCGCCUACGGCUUCUCCGACUCCGCUAGCCGUAGGAAACUUCAACUUCAUAUGAUAGGUUGACGGGACUGCUCUGAAAAGGUUCAUACUCGGCCGCCCCAAAAUGACGUUAUAAGUCGACGGUGCUUUGACGACUAGGAAGUUGACCGUGUUUGUAGCUCGGCACGGGAAUGAUCCCAAGGACAAGACUAAGGAAAUUUCUCCCACAGCUUCGACGGCGUGUCCCGUAAAACCUACUAGGGGUGUUUUCACAGGCGCGAGUUUUGCAUUGGCAAUCCCUAGUUUUUAGAAGGCGUCGUAAUAUAUAAUAUCAGCCGAGCUACCACCGUCCACCAAAAUCUUCUUCACCAAAUAAUUAGAAAUUGAUGCAGAGAUGACUAAAGCGUCGUUGUGUUCACCACGUGGUCCUCUGAGAUCGUCGUCGCUAAAUGUAACCUCUGAGUUUGGGUGGUGAACGUGGUAAAUAUGUCCCUCUGGACGUUCUGUCGUAGAAUACGAGCCUCUUGCUGCCCGAAUUGAUGCUCGUCGUGAGCUAGGAGUGUCACCGCCCGAGGGUCCUCCGGAAAUAACUGCAAUUAUUCCUUGAGUUGGAAGAUUGUCAUCCUCUCGAUCUUUCCUAGGGUUGGGACGUUCUCCUUUAUGCUGGAAGCGGGGUUUGUUUUGGAAUUUUUGGUGUCGUGGCGCAUCCACGAAUUCUCCCAGGUGCCCUUUUUUAAUUAGCCUCUCGAUUUCUUACUUUAGUUGGAAGCACUCGUCGGUAGUGUGUCCCCGAUCUCGAUGGUACUCGCAGUAUUUUUCCGAUUUUUGCCUUUUCGGAUUUUCUUUCAUCUGUCUCGGGGGCUGGACUAGACCUUUCUGCUCCGCUACCAUCCAUACUUCCAUGAGUUUUGCUUUUAGGGGAGUAAACUUUGGGUAGGUAGGGGCGUGGAUCGAACGUCCUUCUUCCUUCCUUUUUGCCUCAUGGCGCUCUUCUUCGCGCUUCCUUUUCACGGGAAGUCCCAUCUCUACGGCCUCUUCUAUCCGGAUGAACUUCUCCGCUCGGUUCAGAAGCUCCUCCAGAGUUUGUGGGGGUCGUCCUGCUAUGGAUUCUUGGAAGCGAACGUGCCUCAAGUUAUGUUGCAGUAUAUCGGCUAGUAGGUCGUGGUUAACAUUGGGUACCUCGUGCACCGCUUUGACAAACCGCUGUACAUAGUCUCUCAAUGGUUCUCCCUCGCGUUGUUUGACUUUGAAGAGGUAUGAUCCGGUUUUGGCGUAUCGCUUGUUGAUGGAAUACUGGCUAAGGAAACGUUCCGAUAACUGGCCCAGGCCAUCCAAUGAUCCUCCUGGCAGACCGUUGAACCAAGUUUGUGCUUGAUCAGUUAAGGUAGUUUGGAAGAUUUUGCAGUAGGCGGCAUCACUGAGGCCGUAAAGGUCGAUCUUAGUGAAGAAAUUGUUAAGGUGAGUUUGAGGAUCUCCGGUUCCAUCGAAUUGGGGCAGAUUGGGGAUCCUAAAUCCGAGCGGUAAAACUUCCUCCAUGAUAGCCGGAAUAAAAGGGCUUAUUCGGGCGGGGAGCGUUCCAAAUCGAGCGGUUGAUCUUGAAGCUUCUUGUCGCGGGCUUCUCGAAUUACGCUUGUUACCAUUCUCGCGGUGCCUUCUCGUCUCUUCAGCCCGAGUGUACCUACUCCCAUGUUCGUCUCGUGGGGAGUUGCCUCGGCGAAAGGAUCGUCCGCGAUGCCUAUCGCCUCGAGGCUCAUGGCGUGUCACACUUGGCCGAGAGGAUCCACUUCUUUCUCGGCGGCCUCGCGCCGCUCUCUCCCUUGAAGGAGCCCGUUGCUUAAGGGGCCGUGGUGACCGACCGCGCGUCUCUCCUCGAGGAGCCUGGUCCGAGGCUGAGCUAUGCUGAUGCGACCGGGGCGGGGCAUACCUACGGGGAGCCCGUUCUGAAGAAAUGCUUCGGUCGCUAAGCGAUACCCUCUCCUCAGAGUCGUGGAGUUCUACGAUGGGCGGGGUCCCGUGGACGUGAGCGGGUUCCGAGGGGUCGCUCUCUGAAAGAAUCGGCUCUUCGAAAUCACUAUGGCCUUGGGCGCUAAUGUACUGAGCUACUGCGUCCGCCGCUGCCCAAGCCGCUGCCUUGGCCGCGGUCUCGUCCAUCAUUGCUUGCAACUCUUCCGUCGUCAUUUGGAUGAUCGGCACUGAAGGUCCCGCCGCGUUGGUUGUUCCCGCCGUCCUCUUUCUUCGAGGCGGAUCCGGGAUCCCACCGCCGGCUCCUUGUUGGGGCGGAUUAAGGCUACCUUGACCACCUCCUCCCGUGUCACGUGAUCGAGUCUGCAUUCCCACAGACGGCGCCAAAAUGAUGCUGCUCAAAUGCCAAUUGGGCAACCCAAGUGUCCUUGAGCCCACAAAGAUAGAGAAUGCCGUGAGUCACUGCCACGUGUCCGAGGUAGUCGAAGGGAUUGCUCCGUUCGUUAACCUACAAAACAAUUGAAACACUAGAUGACACGCCGGGUUUGGCCCGACGAUUAUCCUCCGACGCUCAAGUCAGAAGAUGUAUUAAUAUAAGCAAAUAAUAAUUAUUAAUUGCCAAAUUAGAGUGUACCUUUCUAUGUGAAAUGACACAUACAUUUAUAGGUGGAUGAAUAGGUAGGACUUUUUGUAAAAAUCCGAUGUGGGACAAUGUGUUGUUACUUUUAUAGGUAAAAAGUAAUCUAAUUGAGUUUUCACACAAUUAGAUUAAUUUAGGGCAAUUUGGGCCUAAUCUUAAUUAGGUUUAUGGGCCUAAUUAUGAUUAGACACAUC